GACGAACGCUGGCGGCGUGCUUAACACAUGCAAGUCGAACGGAAAGGCCCCUUUGGGGUUACUCGAGUGGCGAACGGGUGAAUAACACGUGAGUAACCUGCCCUUCACUUCGAGCUAACUUCAGGCAACUGGGUAGAAUACCGGAUAGGAAACCUUUCUGUAAUGAGGGGGUUGGAAAGCAUCGGCGGUUCGGGAUGGACUUGCGGCUUAUCGGCUUGUUUGUGGGGUAGUGGCUUACCAAAGAUGUGACGGGUAGCCGGCCUGAGGGGGCGACCUGACACAUUGGGACGGAGAUACGGCCCAGACUCCUACGCGACGCAGCAGUGGGGAAGAGUGUACUAUGGGCGGAAGCCAGAUGCAACACAGCCACGUGCCGGGUGACAGCCUGCGGGUUGUAAACCAAUUUCAUCAGGGGCGAAGCUUGUGGUGACGGUACCUGAAGAAGAAGCACCGGCUAACUACGUG
RNAcentral lists this ribosomal RNA (465 nucleotides) under uncultured bacterium. Its description in RNAcentral is "partial 16S ribosomal RNA". It matches the Rfam family "Bacterial small subunit ribosomal RNA", at positions 28 to 507 of the family's 1533-position model. The record is from RNAcentral.